GGAGGAUAAAUAUGGAUGAGAAGCUACAAACCAAAAGGAAUAGAGGAGCAAUGGGGAACAAGUGAAAAUACAAUCAAAUCACACCCAAAACCCUCUUAUUGAAUCCUCUUCUUGACUCCAUUAUUCACAAAACUUUUUUUUCAUUUUUCUGUAUUUUUUUUUCUUUUUUUUUUCAUCUGGUCUCUUUUCUUUUCUCUCUUUUUAGAACACAAAUUUCAAGAGACAAUAUACACCCUAUUUACAAAACAAAAGCAAGAAGAGGAACCAUCUAGCCA
RNAcentral lists this long non-coding RNA (275 nucleotides) under Vigna radiata. RNAcentral describes it as "long non-coding RNA (VRAD_LNC009851)". Lineage: Eukaryota; Viridiplantae; Streptophyta; Magnoliopsida; Fabales; Fabaceae. The record is from RNAcentral.